CAGCACCUCAAGUGGUCAGGAUGAUUAUUGGGCCUAAAGCAUCCGUAGCCGGCUCUGUAAGUUUUCGGUUAAAUCUGUAUGCUCAACAUACAGGCUGCCGGGAAUACUGCAGAGCUAGGGAGUGGGAGAGGUAGACGGUACUCGGUAGGAAGGGGUAAAAUCCUUUGAUCUAUUGAUGACCACCUGUGGCGAAGGCGGUCUACCAGAACACGUCCGACGGUGAGGGAUGAAAGCUGGGGAAGCAAACCGGAUUAGAUACCCGAGUAGUCC
Molecule: ribosomal RNA, 270 nt
Filed under: uncultured archaeon
Lineage: Archaea
Description: partial 16S ribosomal RNA
Rfam family: Archaeal small subunit ribosomal RNA
Source: RNAcentral